UGAAUACGAGACGCUACGGCGUCGAAGCAGUCUAUGUCAUACUUCCAAGGAAAGCUCGCAAUGUCAUAAACAAAUAAUGCCUGUACCAUAACCGACACAGGUGGGUAGGUAGAGUAUACUGAGGGGCGCGAGAUAACUCUCUCUAAGGAACUCGGCAAAAUGACUCCGUAACUUCGGGAGAAGGAGUGCCUUAUUUAUAAGGUUGCAAUAACAAGAUCCAAGCAACUGUUUAUCAAAAACACAGGUCUCCGCUAAGUCGUAAGACGAUGUAUGGGGGCUGACGCCUGCCCAGUGCCAGAAGGUUAAAGAAGUUGGUUAGCAUUCGCGAAGCUGAUAACUGAAGCCCUGGUGAACGGCGGCCGUAACAAUAACGGUCCUAAGGUAGCGAAAUUCCUUGUCGGGUAAGUUCCGACCCGCACGAAAGGCGUAAUGAUUUGGAUACUGUCUCGGAGAGGGGCUCGGUGAAAUAGACUUGUCUGUGAAGAUGCGGACUACCUGCACCUGGACAGAAAGACCCUAUGAAGCUUUACUGUAACUUGAAAUUGAAAUUGGACUUUAUUUGCGCAGCAUAGGUGGGAGGCGUUGAGAGUAUUCUUGCGGGAAUAUUGGAGCCAUCAGUGAGAUACCACUCUUGUAAUGUUAGAUUUCUAACUUUGGAUCAUUAUCUGGUCAAAGAACAGUUUCAGGCGGGCAGUUUGACUGGGGCGGUCGCCUCCCAAAUGGUAACGGAGGCGUACAAAGGUUUCCUCUGAACGGGUAGAAAUCGUAUCUAGAGUGUAAAGGCAUAAGGAAGCUUGACUGUGAGACCUACAAGUCGAGCAGGGACGAAAGUCGGUCUUAGUGAUCUGACGGUGCUGAGUGGAAAGGCCGUCACUCAACGGAUAAAAGUUACUCUAGGAUAACAGGCUGAUCUCCCCCAAGAGUUCACAUCGACGGGGAGGUUUGGCACCUCGAUGUCGGCUCAUCGCAUCCUGGGGCGGUAGUACGUCCCAAGGGUUGGGCUGUUCGCCCAUGAAAGCGGUACGCGAGCUGGGUUCAGAACGUCGUGAGACAGUUCGGUCCAUAUCCGGUGUAGGCGUUAGAAUAUUGAGAGGAGCCUUCUUUAGUACGAGAGGACCGAGAAGGACAUACCUCUGGUGUACCAGUUAUCGUGCCAACGGUAAACGCUGGGUAGCUAUGUAUGGAGAGGAUAACCGCUGAAAGCAUCUAAGUGGGAAGCCCACCUCAAGAUAAGUA
RNAcentral lists this ribosomal RNA (1236 nucleotides) under metagenome. RNAcentral's name for it is "bacterial LSU rRNA". It matches the Rfam family "Bacterial large subunit ribosomal RNA", at positions 1564 to 2810 of the family's 2925-position model. The record is from RNAcentral.